GACGAACCGAGCGAACGUUGUUCGGAAUCACUGGGCUUAAAGGGCGCGUAGGCGGGCUGCCGCGUCCGGGGUGAAAUGCCACGGCUCAACCGUGGAACGGCCUCGGAUACGGGCGGUCUCGAGGGGGGUAGGGGCAUCUGGAACUGUGGGUGGAGCGGUGAAAUGCGUUGAGAUCCACAGGAACUCCGGUGGCGAAGGCGAGGUGCUGGACCCCAUCUGACGCUGAGGCGCGAAAGCCAGGGGAGCAAACGGG
Molecule: ribosomal RNA, 253 nt
Filed under: uncultured bacterium
Lineage: Bacteria
Description: partial 16S ribosomal RNA
Rfam family: Bacterial small subunit ribosomal RNA
Source: RNAcentral